GCCUAGGUGGCUCAGUCGGUUAAGCGUCUGACUUCAGCUCAGGUCAUGAUCUCACAGUGCGUGGGUUCUAGCCCCGCAUCAGGCU
RNAcentral lists this transfer RNA (85 nucleotides) under Felis catus (domestic cat). It matches the Rfam family "tRNA". From Rfam's summary of the family: Transfer RNA (tRNA) molecules are approximately 80 nucleotides in length. Their secondary structure includes four short double-helical elements and three loops (D, anti-codon, and T loops). Further hydrogen bonds mediate the characteristic L-shaped molecular structure. tRNAs have two regions of fundamental functional importance: the anti-codon, which is responsible for specific mRNA codon recognition, and the 3' end, to which the tRNAs corresponding amino acid is attached (by aminoacyl-tRNA synthetases). tRNAs cope with the degeneracy of the genetic code in two manners: having more than one tRNA (with a specific anti-codon) for a particular amino acid; and 'wobble' base-pairing, i.e. permitting non-standard base-pairing at the 3rd anti-codon position. Lineage: Eukaryota; Metazoa; Chordata; Mammalia; Carnivora; Felidae. The record is from Rfam by way of RNAcentral. RNAcentral also lists the same sequence under 5 other names.